Lycium barbarum (goji berry) is the source of this 4152-nucleotide long non-coding RNA. RefSeq lists it as uncharacterized. The record is from RefSeq and is a predicted model, not a curated record. The transcript has 8 exons. NCBI's taxonomy places the organism in Eukaryota, Viridiplantae, Streptophyta, Magnoliopsida, Solanales, Solanaceae.
GUAGCCUAUGUGAUAUAUGUGAAAUUUCUUCCUCAUGCAUGUGCUGCCGUGUUGGUGAAAGAAAACAGAAAAUGUGUAUCUAAGUACACUUGAAGAAGAGAUGGAAAAAGCAAUUGCAGAUUCUGAAUCUUGACGAAAAUCAGAACCACCAACAAGUGCACAAAGAUUAGUCUCGCUCUCACUUUCUCUCUAUAGGGGUAGAAGGCUUCAGUUUUUUUUCCAGAGUAUCUGUUCAACACACUGCGUGUCUGCUUCAUUGAGAAAUUUUGAGAGCUUUCCUCCGAAUAUACUUUUUAAUCCUAUAAUUUCCAUAGAUAAUUGUUUUAAGGAAGUUAAAACAAACUUUUGGGUUUCAUACCUUCUUUAUGCUUUCGUCGAGAGACUGAAAGAGGCAAAAUACAUUAAAAAUAAUAGAAUUAUGUCUCUUAAGUCACAAGCUGAUCACUUCUUUAUAUUUGGUUGAAUCAUUUUCUUAAUUCAGCUCUGCAGAUCUAACAAGAUUUGAUCCAGUUCUUUACACUCAUUUUCAAAGAAAAAUCAUGUUUCACAAAAAUAUAAAGCACAUAAUACCCAAAUUAAGUGGAGUAAAUAUCGAAUAAACUUCCUCAGGAAAUCUUGUUUCAAAGCAUUUGAUAUUUCAUUUUAAAUUCCAUUUGUCGGCAGGAAUGCAGAAAUCAUAAUAUUAUUUUGUAGUGACUGUAAGGGUAUCAUAGACACCUAAUUUUCAUCACCCCCUCGAUAAUUUUAAUAACCAAUUAUUUUUCUGUACUGAGAUUGUUAUUUUGUCCUGCUCUUUUGGUGUAAUACACCAUUUAUUGGAAAUGCAUAUGCCAGGUGAUACAGGGAAGGAGGUAUUUACCAGGUUGGCUUAAUUUUUUUUUUUUUUGAAAUUGUAUCCUCAAAGAGGGUUCUGUCAAUUAACUCAGGCUCAGCAUCUACAACGAGGUUGACUCAUUGCUGAUUAUUUUGAUUUUUCGCCUCGGAUAACUGGUCAAAAUUUUAUAUAUAUAAGAUUACCCAUCUUUCUCACAAAAUUUUAUAUAUAUAUAUAUAUAAGAUUACCCAUCUUUCUCAUAAAAUUAAUCGUAGUAGUUAGUACUAAUCCCUCAUAUUAGAUAGAAAUGGAAAGUUUUCUUCAUAUCUCAUCUUUAGCUAAAAUGGUGAAAUUACACACACAAUAUAUUUCUUGGAUUUUGAAUGUUCUUGACUUUUAACUGCUACUAAAGAAAAUCCAAGUGAUUAAUCUUCUCUAUUAUUAUGGAAGUUGUAUGAGGUAAAGGUACGGGCUUUUGUGACCAGUUUCUUAUAUCACUCCGUGUGAGAUAUCUACCAUUAUGAAAAUAAAACUUGGUCCAAAUUGUAAUUGAAUUGUAUUAAAAUAAAAACGGUAAAAUUUUAAACUUGUAAGUAUUGAACUCUUUGUUUUGAUGAGUUUUUUCAGCAAUUUUUUUUAGUUAUUGUACUUCUUUUAUUUUGUCUAAGUUCUUUAGAAGAGUUGUCUCACUUUCCUAGAGUCCUUUCUUCUGUUAGUAUCAAGAUGCAACAACGAUAUUUUGCAUGCUCACAGCGAGAAAAAGCAUGAAAUUGCGGAGAAUCUGGAGCACCAUACAAACACUGGUCCUAAUCGGGAAAGAAAAAAAGUAAGAAAAGGGACCGUUGAAGAAGGAGCAUCAAACAACUAUGCCACAAGUGAUGCAGAUAUGGUAGUUGAACAUUAAUUAGAUGGAUUACCACCAUCUUGAUCCAGGGCCCUUCGACGGAGAGGUACUAUAUCUUCAGCCGGAGCAUAGGUCGCAGCAUAUAUGGGCAUUCGACCUACAGCCUGAGGCUCAGGUCCGUACCCGGUUAGGGGAAUCAGCAUGGGAGAUCUUAGCUGCUCGCCCCCACAUCCUCGCGUCCUGGAUAUACGAUGUCGAGGCGGUAUCUACCAGUAUGUCGAAGUUGGUCGGGUACAGUACAAUAGGUCGCUAGUGACGGACUUGAUUGAGAGGUGGCGACCGGAGACGCAUACAUUUCAUCUCCGCACUGGUGAGGCUACCAUUACCCUCUAGGAUGUGGAGGUCAUUUAUGGGCAACGGGUUGAUGGACGCCCAUUGUAUAUUGAUGAGCCUCAGGUGCUGCCGGCUUACCGGGAUGAGUUGACUAGGCUCAUCGUUUCACUGCUCCGAUUGAUGAUUUUUCGGGCCAGAGGCGGCUUUUGUUGUCAGCCUUUAUGCUCACUUGCGCCUCACAGACAUGCAACAUCCGAUUGGAGAGGACACGCCUCAGGCUGAUGUUGACCGUCGUGCGCAUCUAUACCUACUCAUCAUAUUCGGGGCCAUCCUGUUCGCGAGCACUUCGGGUUUGCAUGUGAGCUUGAGGUAUCUUCAGUAUAUCGACGAUCUUGCCGAGUUAGGAUGUUGUAGCUGGGGCGCUGCUGUGCUCGGCUACAUGUAUCGAGGAUUCUGCCGAUGUUCUAUGGACACGAGGGUAGAGGUCCCUGCAUUUUACUCGCUCUUUCAGAUACGGGUGUGGACUAGGUUGAGACCUUUUCAGCCCACACCAGCUCACCCUCCCGCUGACUAUCUUGUUGUGCUGAUGCCAUACGUGCGGAGAUGAUCGAGACGCAUACACCGAUGUGCGGAGACGCACCACAGCCUUCUCCUGUUUAGGGUCAGAUGACGGCGCAGACGGCUUUUAGUUGGAUGCCGUAUGAUCAUAUUUUGGAUGAGCUACCGACGUUUUGUAGGGCUGGUCAGCACAUGUGGAUGUCGCAGUGUCCAUUGAUACAUAUGGAUAUCAUUAAGUAUCACGCGCCCGACCGCGUGUUACGACAGUUUGGGUAUGUACAGAAUAUAUCCACGGCUACGGAUUGGAAGCACGACCACUAUGUGUGAGACGAGCGUGCAGACGUCGAUGAUACAUGGCGGCUCCAUAUGCAGCAGCAGGUCCAGAGUUGGGAUGCGAGGAUGACGAGCCUAGCGAUGGUCGGACAUGACAGUCCAAUCCAUCUGUACAUGGAGUGGUAUAUGCGGAUCGCUCGCAUUAUUAUUGGCAACCCCACUAGGUGUCGUCCAGAUGGCCUAAGAUAUGUAGCUUUCGCAGGAGCGUAUGAGGCGCUGGUACGGACCGUUCAGACGAUGCGCUAUGAGAGUACUGCCCGUACACAGGCCCCCGAGACAGCGGAGUAUGCAUCACGGAUGAUUGAGCUUGCUGAGACUGGUAUGCGACAGGCACAUGACUUUGAGCGUCUCCGUGAGCGUGUUCUCGAUGCCCCACUUCAGGCAGCUGCCCCAUCUCAGGCAGCAGAUGGUCGUAGUCGUUGAGGAGCUAGUGGCCGUCGCAGAGGUGGUAGGGCUCGCAGAGGUAAUGAGGCUCCAUCGGCUUCAGAGAUCCCGUCGAGUUCUUACCGGCUGUCGACUACAGAUAUCCCAUCGGCUUCUUCUUCCCGACCAUCGACUUCACAGACACCUCUGUAUAUGCUGGACCUUUUGUCAGAUUAUAUGCCCUGGCCUUCAUUUCCACAUCCACCAGUUCGUGAUCCACAAGGUGAACGGCCGGUUCGUGAUCUACAGGGUGGCCUACAUCUAGAUUUCGACGCCAUGUUCAAGGACUUCGUGUUUGAUACGGCACCAUCUGCAUCUCCUGCUCCGGGUGCCGCUCAGGAGGCCUCUCACUAGGUUCAUUCUUCUAUGCCUGCGGACCCAUCUCCGGCUCCAGCUACAGCUCCAAGGCCCACUUAGGAGACCGUUCAAGAGGCAGCUCAGGAGCCUCUCACCAGCCAUCUCAGGAGGCCGUCGACACACAGGUUCAUUCUUCUGUGCCUGUGGACGGGUCUCUUAAUGAGAUUGACGAGACUCUUGAUGUUGUUGUCCUACUCCUACCGCCCAUUGUCAUCUCCUAUAGGAAGCAUGUUAUGAACCAGGGUCCGGGUCGAAGAAGGGAAGGAAGGGAAGCAAGGAUGAUCAUGCCAUAGAGCAUGUACAGAUUAAGAGGAGGAAGGGGGAUGGAGAUGAUGGUGAGGGUGGUGGGGAUAGUGGGGUUGGCCUUAAGCCUAGCUGUACUCUAAAGGCUCCCAGAUGUGAGACCUGAGAUUGUGUAUUUGUAAAUAAAGUGUACAUUUAAAGCCCGUUUGGAUUGGCUUAUAAGUUGCUUAUAAGUUGUUUUCAGCUU